UGGAUGAGAGCCACUCUGGCUAGCCAAGAAGACCGGCCCAUGCAGCCACAUUUGCACAUCCUAUCACAAGAAUUUCUUUCAGAAACCCCUUAAUCUGCCAUCUGCCAUGGCUGAUAGAUGGAUGGAUGAGCCAACAUGAGGCAAAAGCAUAGGCAAGUCAUUCUUGGCUACCAAAGGGAGUAGCUCUCCAUCU
RNAcentral lists this microRNA precursor (193 nucleotides) under Oryza punctata. The record is from RNAcentral. Lineage: Eukaryota; Viridiplantae; Streptophyta; Magnoliopsida; Poales; Poaceae.